UCAUAGAAUGGGCGAGGCAAACAGAGCUCUUGCAUAUUUUUGUUAAUCCAUGAACAGAAUCUAGGUAUGUAGACACAUGGAUCCAUACAUCUCAAUCAGAAAAGAAUCAAUAGAGGAGAAUCGGACGAUAUCUUUCUCGAAACAAACAAAAAGGAAAAGAAAGAGAACAAAAAUCAUGAUC
Molecule: small RNA, 181 nt
Filed under: Oryza sativa Japonica Group (Japanese rice)
Lineage: Eukaryota; Viridiplantae; Streptophyta; Magnoliopsida; Poales; Poaceae
Description: sRNA Os12g0289666
Source: RNAcentral